RNAcentral lists this ribosomal RNA (253 nucleotides) under uncultured bacterium. RNAcentral's name for it is "partial 16S ribosomal RNA". It matches the Rfam family "Bacterial small subunit ribosomal RNA", at positions 524 to 776 of the family's 1533-position model. The record is from RNAcentral.
GACGUAGGAGGCGAGCGUUGUCCGGAUUCAUUGGGCGUAAAGAGCACGCAGGCGGUUUGGCAAGGCGGAUGUGAAAACCCGGAGCUCAACUCCGGGCGUGCAUCCGAUACUGCCCGACUAGAGGUAGGUAGGGGAGAUCGGAAUUCCUGGUGUAGCGGUGAAAUGCGCAGAUAUCAGGAGGAACACCGGUGGCGAAGGCGGAUCUCUGGGCCUUACCUGACGCUCAGGUGCGAAAGCUAGGGGAGCAAACAGG